RNAcentral lists this ribosomal RNA (477 nucleotides) under Flavobacterium sp. DB4.1-1. Its description in RNAcentral is "bacterial SSU rRNA". It matches the Rfam family "Bacterial small subunit ribosomal RNA", at positions 14 to 492 of the family's 1533-position model. The record is from RNAcentral. Lineage: Bacteria; Pseudomonadati; Bacteroidota; Flavobacteriia; Flavobacteriales; Flavobacteriaceae.
UGAUCCUGGCUCAGGAUGAACGCUAGCGGCAGGCUUAACACAUGCAAGUCGAGGGGUAUAGUUCUUCGGAACUAGAGACCGGCGCACGGGUGCGUAACGCGUAUGCAAUCUACCUUUUACAGAGGGAUAGCCCAGAGAAAUUUGGAUUAAUACCUCAUAGUAUAAUGACUCGGCAUCGAGAUAUUAUUAAAGUCACAACGGUAAAAGAUGAGCAUGCGUCCCAUUAGCUAGUUGGUAAGGUAACGGCUUACCAAGGCUACGAUGGGUAGGGGUCCUGAGAGGGAGAUCCCCCACACUGGUACUGAGACACGGACCAGACUCCUACGGGAGGCAGCAGUGAGGAAUAUUGGACAAUGGGCGCAAGCCUGAUCCAGCCAUGCCGCGUGCAGGAUGACGGUCCUAUGGAUUGUAAACUGCUUUUAUACGAGAAGAAACACUACUUCGUGAAGUAGCUUGACGGUAUCGUAAGAAUAAGGA